UCAGCUUUCUACAAGGUCCCUCUUGUUCCCUCCCACUCCUACGACAGAAAGGGGAACGCUCAAAACUUGAACCUGCUCUCCAGACGCCUCGGCCUUCCUCACCAGCUCACUUUGUGUCGUUCCUUCUCUACGCUCCUCUCCCCCCGUCCCUCUCCCUUCCUCUCUGGGCUGUGUGUAAGAGGAUCACUUUGUUUCCGUUGCCUUUUUUCCGCGGUGCUGCAGAACACUCGUAGAGGAGAGGAUUGGAUUUGAGGAGAUACUGACGGGGGUGCACAGCUGCAACAGUCCCCUCCAUCUCUACACUUGGACUAAUGCACCCCCCCUCUUUGACUCUCCCUCUGUUGCACUCUUUCUGCCUCUCGGGGUGGGGGGUGCCAUAUGGGAGCUCAGAAAAAUGGAAGUGGAUCAGAGAUAGAAGAGAGGAAUCUGUCAUUCUCGGUCUCGGAUAACGGGCUCGACGUGAGAUUGACCAUGGCAGCAAACCCCCCCGAGCGAGACACUUCCCUGAGGGUGAACAAUGCUGAUGCCAACUAAUCAGUGCCUGUGCCACAGAGCCCCAGCAACAGCUGAAGGAGCCCCCUGAAUACCAAACAGCCAGGCACAGUGCGACAAGUGCUGAGCAGUCAGACGCAGCACAGCCUGAGCGGAGCGCUGCCCAGAAACAGCCAGACAGUUUUAUUAGGGUCUGUCUGACAGAGUCUGGAACACGGUAGCUGAUGGAAUCCUCACGACUUCCCGAACAGUAACAAAGCAGCAUGUUUCCGCCAGGGACCCAAUAAAUAUCACCCCGUUAACAUCAGCUGCCGGCUAGUUUGUGAGUCCGCUGAACGGUGAAUAACAACUUUCUUCAAAGUCACACUCAGUUAGAAACUACUAAAUUCAUCUCUUCUGUGCCAUCCACACUUCACACUGUGUCUGAUGCAACAAGGAACCAACAAGGAAACUCCUGCAAGCUGCACAUUUAGUGACUGGUUGGUAAUGAGUAUUAAAUGUACAUUUAUUUGACAUCAGAAUGGCUUUGUUUUAAACAACAGCGGCAAUUGUCAUUUUUAUUUAAGUGUCAUCAAAUAUUCAAAUUUCAAUAUAAUAAGAUGCUUUCUUAGAAAAUCUGUAAGUGGUUGUCAAGGUCAAAUGACUUAACAGCAGGUGUAAUAGCAGCUUAUGAUGUCUUUCAAUACAACCAUUUAUGUACUAUGUUUAGACAAAGCCACUCAAAUUAUUUUACACAAAUGAAAAUAAUAAUGGCGAGAAAAACAAGUUUAUAAAAACUAAUCACCAAGCAGACCUUCAGAUUUACUUUUUGUUACCGGGACCUUAUCAAAAUGUAUUGUAUUAUAAAAUAUGGAGUGAUACGUUUUAUCCUCACUUGUCCUUAAU
Trematomus bernacchii (emerald rockcod) is the source of this 1377-nucleotide long non-coding RNA. RefSeq lists it as uncharacterized. The record is from RefSeq and is a predicted model, not a curated record. The transcript is spliced from 3 exons. NCBI's taxonomy places the organism in Eukaryota, Metazoa, Chordata, Actinopteri, Perciformes, Nototheniidae.